UAGCUCAGGGUCGAGUGUGUGCUUAGCAUGCAUGAGAUCCUGGGUUCAAUUCCCAG
RNAcentral lists this transfer RNA (56 nucleotides) under Camelus bactrianus (Bactrian camel). It matches the Rfam family "tRNA", at positions 8 to 63 of the family's 71-position model. Rfam says of the family: Transfer RNA (tRNA) molecules are approximately 80 nucleotides in length. Their secondary structure includes four short double-helical elements and three loops (D, anti-codon, and T loops). The record is from Rfam by way of RNAcentral. Lineage: Eukaryota; Metazoa; Chordata; Mammalia; Artiodactyla; Camelidae. RNAcentral also lists the same sequence under 1 other name.